RNAcentral lists this ribosomal RNA (495 nucleotides) under Ligia exotica. RNAcentral's name for it is "partial 12S ribosomal RNA". The record is from RNAcentral. Lineage: Eukaryota; Metazoa; Arthropoda; Malacostraca; Isopoda; Ligiidae.
CUAGAGCAGAUAAUCCUAACCAGGCAACGAGACAGAGAUGUGAAUAUAUUAGCCCUAGGUAAAAUUUAUACCUGAAUAUAUUCUAUCCACCAGACUCUUAAUCCUGAGAGAUAAACAAGGAUUAGAUACCCUUCUAUACUCAGGACCCUUCAGGCAGGGUAGUAACUAGCUAUGUUCUUCAAACCCAAAGGAUUUGGCGGUUUCUUAUCUAAUCAGAGGAACCUGUAUAAUAAUCGAAGCUACACGGUGCAUCUUACCAGAGGUAGGCCUGUAUACCGUCGUCUAGACAGUUCUAAAAAGAUCUCUCGUCACGGGAUACAGUAAUGGCAGAUCAAGGUGCAGCUUACUCUGGCUGGUAUGGGUUACAAUCCAGACAGGGCUGGAUGGCUAGUUUAUAAGCGGCUUAAAAUUGGAUUUGACAGUAAUAAGUUUAAGUAAAGACGUAUAAAGAUGCUAUGGGAAACGUACAUAUCGCCCGUCACUCUCACUCUAAAU